CAAAACGUUGAAAAAGCCUAAACCCCAGUUGCUGGAGGAUGUAGCAGCUUACUAAAGAAGUAAUUGUAACCAUGGGCAAAAUCCCUCCUUCAUUCCGCUCCGCUAUAGCAAACCCCAACUCUUCACUCUUCCGUCCCCAACCCCCUCACUUCCCAAACAAACAACAACAACCUCGAAAACCAAAACCCUCUAAACAACAACAAAACCCUUCUUCUUCAUCUCUUCCUCUCUUCAAAUCCCCAAACCUCCAAGACGCCAAAAAACUCUUCAACUCCGACCCCCGCUUCCCCAACUCCCUCCUCCACUCCUACGCUAAACUCGCCCAAACUCCUUCCGACUCCGUCAAUUUCUUCAACCACAUCACCAAAACCCUAUCUUCUUUCUCCCCCGAUCGCUCCACUUUCCACAUCCUCCUCUCCCAUUCCUCCAAUUCCCUCUCCCCAAUCCACCAAACCCUAAAUUUAAUGCUCGCCGCCGGGAUCACCCCCGACACCACCACCGCGGACGUCGCGGUCCGCUCCCUCUGCUCGGCCGCCCGCCUUGACCUCGCCGUUGAACUGAUCAAAGAAUUCGCCUCCAAACACUGCCCACCUGACACCUACACCUUCAACUUCCUCGUCAAGCACCUCUGUAAGUCCCGCACCGUAGCCACUGUCUAUGAUUUCAUCGACGAAAUGCGCGAAAAAUUCGACAUAAAACCCGAUCUAUUCACUUAGACGAUUCUCAUUGACAAUGUGUGCAAUGGGAAGAACCUGAACCUGAGGGAGGCAAUGAGGCUGGUGAGUGUGCUUCAUGAGGAAGGGUUUAAGCCUGAUUGCUUUGUUUACAACACCAUUAUGAAAGGGUAUUGUCUGUUGAGUAGAGGGAGUGAGGUGAUCGAGGUUUAUAAUAAGAUGAAGGAGGAAGGUGUGGAGCCUGAUCUUGUUACUUAUAACACUUUGAUUUUCGGGCUUUCGAAGUCGGGGAGGGUGACCGAGGCGAAGAAGCUGCUUCGUGUGAUGGCGGAGAAAGGCUAUUUUCCCGAUGAGGUCACUUAUACUUCGCUGAUGAAUGGGUUGUGCAGGAAGGGGGAUGCGCUCGGGGCACUGGCGUUGUUGGGGGAGAUGGAGGCCAAAGGGUGUAGUCCUAAUGAGUGCACGUAUAACACGCUGCUGCACGGCUUGUGUAAGGCGAGGUUGGUGGAGAAGGCAGUGGAGUUCUACGGGGUGAUCAGGGCGGGUGGUCUGAAGCUUGAUACGGCCUCUUAUGGGACGUUUGUCAGGGCUCUGUGUAGGGAAGGGAGAAUUGCCGAGAAGUAUGAGGUGUUUGAUUAUGCAGUCGAGAGCGAGAGCUUGACGGACGCUGCUGCUUACUCUACAUUGGAGAGCACUCUUAAGUGGCUCAGGAAGGCGAAAGAACAAGGGCUCACUGUUUAAUUGGUGCUUUCUGUCACCGCUACCAAGGAUGUAAGAGUUGGUUGCAAAGGUUUGGCACUAACUCCAUAAGUGCAUACCAAAGUUGCUAAUACAAUUUCUAUAGGUAUUUGGUUGCUAGUAAAUCUUUGCUAACAGUUUGACACAACUUGGCACCGGAAUCAGCCAACAAACCAAAAUUAUAUAUUCAAUGGUUGUCAUGGGACAGCUUCCUCUGCAGCUGCUUUGGCCAGUCUUGCUGACAUUAUUGAAGUUCCUUUCCGGCUGUCCUGGUCUGCUUGAUUCCAGAGUGCCCUUGAUGAAGAAAAACGUGUCAUUUUUUAUGGAAAAUAUUCAUUAUUUUGAAUCUUAGGAUUCUCUAAUAGAUCCAGAUAACUAAUUUUAAAUAAACCAGAAAGGCACAUUUUAUUGUUUUCACUGAUAAAAGAGCUUGGAGAUGCGACAUUCAUUAGUAUUUGAUAGUUGUUGGUUGCAUAAGGUGCCAUAUCAUUCUACAAGGUUUUGUGGAAUGUGCAUGUUUCAUAGAGAUUUACCUCUACAUUUAUGAGAAUGGAAAUGCUUGGAUAAAAAUUGGAUAAGUGUAUUCAGUAAUAGCAAAUAAUGAACGUGAAGCAAGUAGUUCAGUGCGAUAGAUUAUAGUGAUGUGAGUAAUGAUUUAUCAGUAACAAUGGGGUAGCUAGAGUGGUGAUGUAGAAUGGAAGCUGAUCAUGACAGCAUAAGCCUUGACGACCUUCAAUCUUUUUAUUCUAGUAGUAAACUUAUGAAGUUUUCUCGUUUUUUUGUGUUUAAUUUAUCUCAUUUGCCCAUUUGUAAUUUGCCAUUUUUUUAUCCAUAUGACUUUGUGAAAAAUGUGUAUUGCUACAUGUAGUGUGUGUUUGGAUAAUCGUCUGCCUUUGCAAAAUGAGGUAGUCCAAAGCAUUCCAACUCUUGUUUUUUCUGUUGUGUUUUCAGCGGCUUGUCAGAUCUGUCUUGGAAUUUGUGCAUGUUUGAGGUCAGUUACCGGAAAAUCAAACAUGCUCGUAAUCAUACGAGGGUGACUUUCAAAGUGUAGGCGUGUAGUAGUCAUGUAUCGUAAGAUUCAAUCUUCAUUACAUCUGUUGAAAAAUCAAGUGGAAAGAGAGUGGUGAUUUAUCAAUAAAAUUUAGUUAAUCAUAGAAGUGUUAAGAGAAGAAUGGCAAAGAGUAUAUAUAAAAAAAGGAUAAAAACAAAACAAAAAUCAAAUGGAAGCAGAAAUAAAUUCUUCUUAGGAAAAAAUAAUGGGGAUGUGAAGUUGUUCCAUAAAGCUUCAGUAUUUGGUAUCUUUCGAGAUGAAGGCUAGGGUGUACAAGUUAAAAAAACAUAGCAUCGUGCCAAAGUCUUUUAUAACCAUUCAUUUUGAUCAAAGGGUUCACAUUUUUUGCUCUUUAUCUUUUUUUUCUUUCAAUUUUCUUUGUUUUUCCCAACUUGUCGGGUGUUGUGGAUUUUGCGAUGCUUCAAGUUUCAUUUUUUUUGGUCUAAUUUAGAUUUGUUUCUUUAAGUUUUUUAUUUUUUUGUUUUGCAUCAAUUCUCAGAUCUAAUUCUCAUUUUUAUUAUGUUUCAUGUGUGUUGUUGUUAUUUCUAUGAAAGUCAUUGACGUAUAUGACAGAGAGACAUGGUCGCCAGAGAAGAGCUAGGAGAACUUGCUGGAAGAUGAUACAGGCUUGGGAAGGUAGUUAGGAACUGACUGACAUGUCCAGAGUUAGUUAGAUUUGAUUCUGCUAGUUUUCCCUAAUUGGCAAGUUGUUAGGCAGUUAGUGGUUAGAAGCUAUAAGUAGCAAUUGGCAAUUAGGAAGCAUUUUCAAGCCAUAAUUUGUAAUCAUCUUCCUUCUUGUAAUUUCUUUCUCUAAUAAUGAAAAGCAUGACCACCAUGCUCAUCGGAAUUCAUUCA
This is an RNA transcript of Glycine soja, 3318 nucleotides long. It is a transcript of the gene named pentatricopeptide repeat-containing protein At2g17670-like, with no coding region annotated. The record is from RefSeq and is a predicted model, not a curated record. Lineage: Eukaryota; Viridiplantae; Streptophyta; Magnoliopsida; Fabales; Fabaceae. The transcript has 2 exons.